This 4235-nucleotide long non-coding RNA is filed under the name Homo sapiens (human). RNAcentral's name for it is "HSALNT0136239". Lineage: Eukaryota; Metazoa; Chordata; Mammalia; Primates; Hominidae. The record is from RNAcentral.
GUGCAAAGAGACAUUUGGGAAUCCAUUGAAGCCCAUCGGGAAAAACUGAAUAUCCCCAGAUAAAAACUAGAAAGAUGAUAUCUGUGAAACUACUUUGUGAUCUGUGGAAUCAUGUCGCAAAUUAAACCUUUCUUUUGAUUCAUUAGGAAACACUCUUUUUGGAGAAUACAUUUGCCAGCCAAAAGAGACCUAUGGUGAUAAACCACAAUUCCUCAGAUAAAAACUAGAAAGAAACUGUGUAACUGCUUUUUGAUUUGUGGAUUCAUCUUACACAGUUGAACUUUCCUUUUUAUUCAGUGGGUUGGAAACACUCUUUUUGUAGAAUCUGUUAAAGGACAUUUGGGAAACCAUUUAGGCCUAUAGUGAAAAAUCGAAUAUCCACUGAUAAAAACUAGAAAGAACUUAUCCGUGAAUCCUCUUUGUGAUGUGUGGAUUCAUCUCACAGAGGUAAAGUUUUCUUUUGAUUCAGCAGGUUGCAAAAACUCUUUUUAUGGAAUCUGUGAAGGAACAUUUGGGAAUCCAAUGAGGCCUAUGGGGAAAACAUGAAUAUACCCAGAUAAAAACUGGGAAGAAACUAUUCGUGGAACUGCUUUGUGAUGUGUGUACUCAUCUCACAGAGUUAAAACAUUCCUUUGAUUCAGCAGUUGGGAAACACUCUUUUUAUAGAAUACACGAAUGGAUACUUGGGAGUCAAUUGAGCGUAGGGGAAAAACACAAUAUCCCCAGAUAAAAGCUAGAAAGAAGUUAUCUGUGAAACUGCUUUGUGACAUUUGGAUUUAUCUCAGAGUUAAAAUUUUCUUUUGAUUCAGCAAGUUUGAAACACUCUUUUUGUAGAAUCUGUGAGGAGACAUUUGGGAGCCCUCUGAGGCCUAUGAGGAAAAACCAAAUAUCCUCAGACAAAAACUAGAAAGAACCUAUCUGAGAAACUCCUUUGUGAUAUGUGGAUUCAGCUCAGAGAGUUAAAGUAUUAUUUUGUUUCAGCAGGUUGGAAACACUCUUUUUGGAAUAUGCAAAGGGACAUUCUGCAGUUCAUUGAGUAAUAAGGGAAAAAAGGGGUAUUCCCAGUUAAAACUAGAAAGUGGUUAGUUAUCCAUGAAACUGCUCUGUGGUGUGUGGAUUCAUCUCACAGGGUUAAAACUUUCUUUUGAUUCAGCAGGGUAAAGACACACUUUUUGAAGAAUCUGUGAUGUAACAUUUGGGAGCCCAUUGAGGCCUAUAAGGAAAAACUACAUAUCCCCAGAUAAAAACUAGAAAGGCGCUAUCUGUGAAUCUGCUUUUUGAUGUGUCGAUUCAUCUAACUGAGUUAAAACUUUCAUUCAACACAGCAGGUUGGAUACACUGUUUUUGGAGAAUGUGCAAAGGGACAUGUGAGAGCCCAUUGAGGCCCAUGGAGAAAAACAGAAUAUCCCCAAAGAAAAACUAGAAAGAAAAUACCUGUGGAACUGCUUUGUGAUAUGUGAAUUCAUUUCAGAGCAUUAAACCUUUCUUUUGAUUCAGUAGGUUGGAAAAACUGUUUUGGAAAAUCUGCAAAGGGACAUUUGGGAGUCCAUUGAGCACGAUAAGGUAAAAUCAAAUAUUUCCAGAUGAAAACUAGAAAGAAGCUAUUGGAGAAAUUAGAUCAUGAUGCAUAUAUUCACCUCACAGAGUGAAACCUUAAUUUUGAUACAGUAGUUUGGAAACACUCUUUUUAAAAGAUAAGGGAAGGGAUAAUUGGGAGCCCAUUGAGGGUUAAGGGAAAAACCAAAUAUCCAAAGAUAAGAGCUAGAAAAAAUCUAUCUGUGAAAAUGCUUUGGGAUGUGUGGGUUCAUCUCACAGAGUUAAAGCUCUUUUUGAGUCAGUAUGCUGGAAUCACUCCUUUUCUAGAAACUGCAAAGGGCCAUUUUAGAGGCAAUUGGGGUCUAUGGGGAAAACCUGAAUAUUCCCAGGUAAGAACUAUAAAGAAGUUAUUCAUGAAACUGCGUUGUGAUGUGUGGAUUCAUCUCACAGAGUUGAACCUUUCUCUUGUUCAAGCAGGUUGGAAACACUCUUAUUGUGGAAUAUGUGAAGUGACAUUUAUGAGCCCUUUGAGGCUUGUGGGGAUAAACUGAAUAUCCCCAGAUAAAAACUAGACAGAAGUUAUCCUUGAAUCCACUUUGUGAUGUGUGGAUUCACCUCACAGAGGUAAAGCUUUGUUUUGAUUCAGCAAGUUGGAAACAGUCUUUGUAUAGAAUAUGUGAGAGGAUCUUUGGGAGCCCAUUGAAGCAUAGGGGAAAAACUGAAUAUUCCCAGAUAAAAACUACAAAGAAACUCUCUGUGAAACUGCUUUGUGAUGUUUGGAUUCAUCUCACAGAUUUAAACUUCUUUUCUUUUGAUUCAGCAGGUUUGUAACACUUUUUUUUUUUUGUAGAAUCUCUGAAGAGAAAUUUGGGAGCCCACUGAGAGCAUUGGGGAAAAACAGAAUAUUCUCAGAUAAAAACUAGAAAAAGCACUAUUUAAAACUUCUUUGUGAUGUGUGGAUUCAUCUCACAGAUUUAAAUCUUUCUUUUGAUUCAACACCUUGUAAAAUCUCCUUUAUAGAAUCUGCAAAGGGACAUUUGGCAGCUUAUUGAGGACUAUGGGGAAAAACGGAAUAUCCCUAGUUAAAAACUAGAAAGACACUAUCUGUGAAACUGCUUCAGGAUGUAUGGAUUCAUCUAACACUGUUAUACCUUUCUUUUGAUUCGGCACAUUGGAAUCACUCUUUUUGGAGAAUCUACAAAGGGACAUUUAGGUGCUCAUUGUGGUCUAUGGGGAAAAACAGAAUAUCCCCAGAUGAAAACUAGAAAGAAACUAUCUGUGAAGCCACUUUGAGAUGUGUGGAUUCAUAUCACAGAGCUCAACCUUUCUUUUGAUUCAGCAAGUUGGAAACACUCUUUAUACAGAGUAUGUGAAGGGACACUUGUGAGCCCAUAUGGGCCCUUGGGGAAAAAGUGAAUAUUCUCAGAUAAAAACUAGGAAGAAGCUAUCCAUGAAAUUACUUUGUGAUGUGUGAAUUCAUCUCACAGUUAAAUAUUUCUAUUUGAUUCAGCAGGUUGGAAACACUCCUUAUGUAGAUUCUGUGAAGGGAUAUUUGGGAGCUUAUUAGAACUAUGGGGAAAAACAAAAUAUCCCCAGAAAAAAAUGAGGAAGAAACUGUCUGUGAAAAUGCUUUGUAAUGUGUGGAUUCAUCUUACAGAGUGAAACAUUUCUUUUGAUUCAGCAGGUUGGAAACACUGUUUUUGGAGAAUCUGCAGAGGGACAUUUGGGAUCCAAUUUUGGUUUAGGUGGUAAAACGGAAUACUAUCAUAUAAAAACUAGAAAGAAGACAUCUGUGGAACUGCUUUGUGAUGUGUGGAUUUAUCUCAUAAUGUUAAGCCUUUUUUUUUAUUCAUCUCAUAGGAAGCACUCUUUUUAGAGAAUCUGUGAAGGGACAUUUUUGUGCACGAUGAGGCCUAAAUCAAAAAAAACCUGAAUAUCCCCAGAUAAAAACUAGAAAGACACAAUUCAUGAAAUCAUUUUCUGAUGUGUGGAUUCACAUCACAGAGUUAAACCUUUCUUUUGAUUCAGGAGGUUGGAAUCACUGCUUGGGAGAAUCUGCAAAGGGACAUUUUGGAGCCCAUUGUGGCCUAUGGCAAAAUGUGAAUAUCCCCAGAUAAAAACUAGAAAGAAGCUAUCUGUGAAUCUGCUUUGAGAUGUGUGGAUUCAUCUCACAGAGCUAAAUCUUUCUCUUGAUUUAGCAGGUUGGAAACACUCUUUUUGGAAAAUCUGCAAAGGGACAUUUUGGAGCCUAUAUGGGCCUAUGGGGACAAACUGAAUACCCUUAAAAAAAAACUAAGAAGAAGCUAUGCAUGAAAUUGCUUUGUGACGUAUGGAUUCUUCUCACAGAGGUUGGAAACACUCUUUUUGGAGAAUCUGAGAUGAGAGAUUUGGGAUCCCAUUGUGGUUUAUGGGCAAAACGGAAUACUCUCAGAUAAAAACUAGAAAGAAGCUAUCUAUGAAAAUGCUUUGUGAUGUGUGGAUUCAUCUCACAGUGUUAAAACUUGCUUUUGGUUCAUCACGUUGGAAACACUCUUUUUAGAGACUCUGUGAAGGGACAUCUGAGUGGUCGAUAAGACCUAGAUCAAAAAAAUUAAUACCCUAGAUAAAAACUAGAAAGAAGCAAUCUGUGAAACUGCUUUGUGAUGUGUGGAUUUAUCUCACAGAACUACAACUUUCUUUAGAUUCAGCUGGUUGGAAAC